This is a long non-coding RNA of Macaca mulatta (Rhesus monkey), 1715 nucleotides long. RefSeq lists it as uncharacterized. Lineage: Eukaryota; Metazoa; Chordata; Mammalia; Primates; Cercopithecidae. The record is from RefSeq and is a predicted model, not a curated record.
ACACCCUUUCCUAUGCUGACAUAUUUCUCUCUGGGUCUGUGUUUUGAUAGACACAGGGAUCACAUUUCUAAAAAGAAGAUUCUGCUGAAGGGAUCUUUCAAGAGCCUCAAAAGUGGGACUAUUUCAUGAACCAACUCGUAGUGACAAGCCCUGCCCCUGCAAGUGAGAAGGGGAGCGCUUCCCAGUCAAGCUCCAUGUGUCAAGAUUGGAUGCCAUGUAUAUUCAUUUCUCUGCCAGGCAGAAUGCUGCAGUCUGCUGUCUUCAAGACCACUCACAAAUGAGCUCUGUUUCCCUGACUCUUUUUAAACCUGCUUCCCACCGUUAAAGUUCAUGCGGUGACGUGAAGAGAGAUGAAGAAACUGAGGCACAGUGAGGUCGAGUCGCCUGCUCACGGUUACAUGGCUGACCAGUGAAACAGCUGUUUCUCACCUCAGCUGUGCUCUUCCAUAGGAUGCUGCCUCCUCUGAAUCCCAGAGGAACGACCAGAUUCCGCACUCAGCCCAGUUUCACAGCUUGGGGGCUGGACGCCAGACAGGAGUGGCUGCAUGUGGAGAUCUGCCCACCUUGUAAGAAGUAUUGACAAUGAGUGCAGGUUUUGCUAAGCUAUAGUAGGGUAGUAAUGAAGACAGAGCAGGUUCCUCCCAUGAUAUUUGAUCAUUCUGAGUCCCAGAAAUAACCCUCGUGCAAGUAGGGGUCACAUUAUUCGCCUUGGCUAAACUCACCAAGCUGGGUUUUGUAGGCAGUAGAGUUCAGUGGUUAAGCUUUUAAGUCAAAGAGUACUGAAUGUAAGGCCUGGCUCAGCUGCCUGCUGCUGUGUGAGAUCUUGGGCUAAUUAUUUAACUGCUGGGUUACUCAGUUUCCUCACCUGUAAAAUAGGGCAUAAUAAAAGUCUCCAUGUCAUAGAAUAGUUAUGAAAUUAAGUGAGAUAAUUACAUGGAAAUUACUUGGUAUAUCUGGCACCUAUUAAGUGGUAGUAUUAUACAAAUGUUAGUACAAAAAUUUGUGCUAAUUAUGGGAUAUUUAAUGACCAGUAGCAUGUUGGCUCUUUCAGGGAGCAAUGCAAAGCAAAAGAGUAGAGCUGAGAAGUGAAUGUCCAUCUACUUUGCCAAGCAAAGUGCAGUCCUUAAGAAUUUACUCCACUGCCUGAAGUUGCAUGGCUGGCCACCUAGUUCUCCAAAGGAUUCCACUAGGUACGAGCACAAGACAGGGUUUGCAGUUUUCACACCCAGUAAUUAGGGCUGAUGGCUCAAUAGGAUUAUUUUGUAUAGCAAACCCAAUAUCCUCUUUACUAUUCUUUUCAGCUUUCUGAUUUCCAAUUGAAAAAAAAAAAAAACCUUCAAUGAUAAAUUUGGUCAAAAGGCUUAUUUUAUGACUAGUGCCUGUUGCCAAAGAGCUGAUAUUUCUCACAAAUCCUGAGCUGUGAGUUGUGACAGCCAGUGCUUGGGUGAAGUUAGCACCUGCCUCAUCCCCAGGGAGAAGAAGUGAGGACGUGAUUUUCCCGACUGAGUCCAUUACAACACAUGUGCCCUGACCCCUGGGAUUUGGGGAGGGGGAUUCCCAAUCUGCCAGUUCAUUUAAGCUUCCAACUUCACAGAUUCCAGAUUCAGAUACAGGGAGCCUUCAAAUGAGUUCUGUGGAAACCAGACUUCAUUGUAAAGUUCUCUAUUAGCUGCAAAACAAACAAAUAUGUACAAAUAAAGUCCAUUUUAAAGUAA